Molecule: long non-coding RNA, 676 nt
Organism: Brassica napus (rape)
Lineage: Eukaryota; Viridiplantae; Streptophyta; Magnoliopsida; Brassicales; Brassicaceae
Exons: 3
Source: RefSeq, a predicted model, not a curated record
GAUCUCGCCCAGCACACUCUUGAACAAAUAAGAUGUCAAUUUUUGCUCUUCGAACUUGAGAAUCUUCUCCCAAGUUUGAGUCUUUCGAACUUGAUGAAGUGUUUCAUACUUGGUGAAUUUAUAAAAUACAUUUCCCUUCUUUUUCUUUUAUACCAAAAAUUUACUACCAUAUAUAGCUGUUCUUAUCAUUGUUGUGCCUCUCUUUCCGGUGGAAACGAUCCGCAACUUUUUUGCAGCGCUGUUCCUUGCGAGUAUUGGAAUGUUAAUACAUAUGCACUUCUUGUGGAACCAUGUUGACAUUCUGGUUGCAGCAGUGUUACUGGUGGUAGUGAUAAAGACUGGUAGUUGCAAUCGUUGUUAAAGUGUUCAGAUACAAUAACAAAACUGCAGUACUUGUCGGAAUGUCGCAAAUAAUCUUCACCGGCCGUUGUAUUUAGGAGUGCUCUUACGGUGGUUCUCUCCCGACAGCUCAACUGAGAUUGGGUUCAAAGGAGGUUUGUAUCGUUCAAAGAGUGCAAAGCUUAUAUCACAAAUGAUCCAAGAUUCUCUUUGUUACUACUUGUUUGUACUUCUUGUCUUAUGUCACAGACUUGUAAAGAAUCAACUUGUAUGCUUGUGUCUAUAUAACAAACACUCUGACUUUUAAAAACAACAACCACAAACACUCUUGCUUUCA